GACGAACGCUGGCGGCGUGCUUAACACAUGCAAGUCGAACGGAAAGGCCCUGCUUUUGUGGGGUGCUCGAGUGGCGAACGGGUGAGUAACACGUGAGUAACCUGCCCUUGACUUUGGGAUAACUUCAGGAAACUGGGGCUAAUACCGGAUAGGAGCUCCUGCUGCAUGGGGGGGGUUGGAAAGUUUCGGCGGUUGGGGAUGGACUCGCGGCUUAUCAGCUUGUUGGUGGGGUAGUGGCUUACCAAGGCUUUGACGGGUAGCCGGCCUGAGAGGGUGACCGGCCACAUUGGGACUGAGAUACGGCCCAGACUCCUACGGGAGGCAGCAGUGGGGAAUACUGCACAAUGGGCGGAAGCCUGAUGCAGCAACGCCGCGUGCGGGAUGACGGCCUUCGGGUUGUAAACCGCUUUCGCCUGUGACGAAGCGUGAGUGACGGUAAUGUGUAAAGAAGCACCGGCUAACUACGUG
This 468-nucleotide ribosomal RNA is filed under the name uncultured bacterium. Its description in RNAcentral is "partial 16S ribosomal RNA". It matches the Rfam family "Bacterial small subunit ribosomal RNA", at positions 28 to 507 of the family's 1533-position model. The record is from RNAcentral.